Small nucleolar RNA from Octodon degus (degu), 131 nucleotides. Its record names the gene SNORA70. It matches the Rfam family "Small nucleolar RNA SNORA70". From Rfam's summary of the family: snoRNA U70 seems to be exclusive to mammals and is a member of the H/ACA class of snoRNA which contain H (ANANNA) and ACA box motifs. H/ACA box snoRNAs are involved in the conversion of uridines to pseudouridines (5-ribosyluracil) a constituent of structural RNAs (transfer, ribosomal, small nuclear, and small nucleolar). The record is from Ensembl. NCBI's taxonomy places the organism in Eukaryota, Metazoa, Chordata, Mammalia, Rodentia, Octodontidae.
CUUCAUACCUGCUGGCUGGGCUCCCUUCGUAAUGAGAGCCUGCUGUGUACUGGCUGCAAAAUGCAGCUUCCUUGGUGGUGCGCAUAGCCAGCUGCCUGAGUGGGUUCCCCCAAGAGACCUUGGAGACAGCU